GACGAACGCUGGCGGCGUGCCUAAUACAUGCAAGUAGAACGCUGAAGGAGGAGCUUGCUUUCCGGAUGAGUUGCGAACGGGUGAGUAACGCGUAGGUAACCUGCCUGGUAGCGGGGGAUAACUAUUGGAAACGAUAGCUAAUACCGCAUAACAGUAGAUAUUGCCUGAUAUCUGCUUGAAAGGUGCAAAUGCAUCACUACCAGAUGGACCUGCGUUGUAUUAGCUAGUUGGUGGGGUAACGGCUCACCAAGGCGACGAUACAUAGCCGACCUGAGAGGGUGAUCGGCCACACUGGGACUGAGACACGGCCCAGACUCCUACGGGAGGCAGCAGUAGGGAAUCUUCGGCAAUGGACGGAAGUCUGACCGAGCAACGCCGCGUGAGUGAAGAAGGUUUUCGGAUCGUAAAGCUCUG
RNAcentral lists this ribosomal RNA (414 nucleotides) under Streptococcus sp. oral taxon 431. RNAcentral's name for it is "bacterial SSU rRNA". It matches the Rfam family "Bacterial small subunit ribosomal RNA", at positions 28 to 435 of the family's 1533-position model. Lineage: Bacteria; Bacillati; Bacillota; Bacilli; Lactobacillales; Streptococcaceae. The record is from RNAcentral.